GUGAAAGCCUUCGGCUCAACCGAAGAAGUGCAUUGGAAACUGGGAGACUUGAGUGCAGAAGAGGACAGUGGAACUCCAUGUGUAGCGGUGAAAUGCGUAGAUAUAUGGAAGAACACCAGUGGCGAAGGCGGCUGUCUGGUCUGUAACUGACGCUGAGGCUCGAAAGCAUGGGUAGCGAACAGGAUUAGAUACC
This 193-nucleotide ribosomal RNA is filed under the name Pediococcus acidilactici. RNAcentral describes it as "partial 16S ribosomal RNA". It matches the Rfam family "Bacterial small subunit ribosomal RNA", at positions 594 to 786 of the family's 1533-position model. The record is from RNAcentral. Lineage: Bacteria; Bacillati; Bacillota; Bacilli; Lactobacillales; Lactobacillaceae.